UAGUGUUUUGUUUAUGACCAUUGGAGAGAAGCAUCCCUGCAUGAGGCUAGCAAGAAGAGAGGGCUCUCUGGUCUCACCCAGAGAAAGCAAUAUUUACACAGCCCAGAUGGGAGCAUUUUGCUGUAUCUUUUCCCCUCUGUUUUCACACAAGGCGGGAUCUGCUGGACGCAAUGGACCAUACAGUACCACACAGGCAAGUUAAUUAUUUUGGAAAGUUACUCUCAAAACAGAAAUUCAGAAAAUUUCACUCGUGCGAUAGCUCUGGAAUGGCUAACUCAACAAACUACAGCGGUUAUUCCCAUUUGUAAUGCAAAGCUCAGAAUACCAUGGCAUAGAUACUGCUAUUGCCCAUCCAAAUAAACAGAAGCACUUACCCAAGAUCCCAGAGUAAGCAAGUUCCACAGCUGGGAUAAAGAUCAGUAUUCAGGUUGCAGGCUCUGACAUCCUCACUGCUUCUCCAUUGUUUCUCUCUGGGUGCUUAAUACACACAAAAGUAAUACCAAAUUUCUGCCCAUAAAGGCAGAAUUGGUGGAAUAUGUCAAGUUUUUGACAACAGACAAUGUUGAAGCAAUGCCCAAUCUCAACGUGAGGAAAAAGCUUCAGAAUGGAGGAACAGCAGAAGUGGAGUGGAAACUUUAUACCGAAGCUCAGUAGAAAUCCCAGUCUCCUUAGGCAUGAGAUGGAGGAACCAUUGCAAAGAAGAGGAAACCUAAAAUGGCUCUCCACAUUUGGAAGAGGAUGCUUUCUCGUAUUCGUCAGAAUAACAUGGAUGUUGAAAAAGACACAAAUGAAGAAAUUGUGUGCAACCUAUGACUGUCACUUCUUAUUAUAUGAGACAUCUAUAAUACUAUGUUGGCCACAGUUCAUGAUGUUCCUAUGUAGUGGUCAAUACAUUUAUAAAUGUGGAACUGAAAUUUCUUCUGGAAAUAAAAUAUACCUCAAGAACAAAUUGAGCAAAAAGGUAUUUAUGGUGUUGAAAUAUAUGAAUACAAACUGGACACAUAUUGAAUACUUUGAACUUUAAAUGACAAAGCAUAUCCACAUAGCAAACCACACACAGACAAGGAAAUUACUUUAAAAAUUUGCAAAGCCACAAUCCAUCAAAUAGCAUAUGCCAGGAAAUAUAUAGAUAUACUUAGGAAAAAUAGAUAGUUCUCAGUAAAACUCCAUCUGGUGUUCUGGAACCCAUUCUAGGUCAUUUUUAUUAAUCUCAACAUUGCAAAAUGGAUAGUAAAUUUAUUUUAGGGCCUUUACUGCAGUCCAUGGAGGGGUUUUUCAGGCUGUGAGGAAGGGCUUCCAUGUAGCUAGAUACCAAUAGUCACAAACUGCAAUGAAAACUCACUAAAUCAAAGUUCUGUUCAAUGGUGUUGCUUUCUUCCAUCUGUUUCUUAUUGAUAACAAUGGCUUAUGAUGUAUAUUAAAACCACAAAAAUUGAAAUUUCUUUUUUUCUUUUGAAAUAUUGCAUCUUCAACACUAGAUUGAAAUUAUUCUUUAAGUAUGCUUGUUAACUGGGAUUCAACAUUUAGAGAGCUGAGAUGUUGUUUCCUAGAUACCAUGUAGCUACACUCAACAAGCAUUUUAAUUCUUGCCCCACUUUUUUUAGAAGCUCAGCAAAUAUAAGGUUGAAAAUUUUCUUGAAGUCUUUGUUAACCCACAAGUAAAUUUGCAUGACAACACAUCUGUGCACUUUCUCUAUUGUCUAUAUUCUGAGCUUUUCUUGGACAGAUACAUGUAUACUUUCUGUGCAAGUUAUAUAAGUGUUCUACUAUAUAUCUAACAUAGCAUGAA
This is a non-coding RNA of Oryctolagus cuniculus (rabbit), 1789 nucleotides long. Lineage: Eukaryota; Metazoa; Chordata; Mammalia; Lagomorpha; Leporidae. The record is from RefSeq and is a predicted model, not a curated record.